Molecule: non-coding RNA, 21 nt
Filed under: Arabidopsis thaliana (thale cress)
Lineage: Eukaryota; Viridiplantae; Streptophyta; Magnoliopsida; Brassicales; Brassicaceae
Source: RNAcentral
GGACAUUGUCAGGUGGGGAGU